UAGGGAAUCUUCCACAAUGGACGCAAGUCUGAUGGAGCAACGCCGCGUGAGUGAAGAAGGUUUUCGGAUCGUAAAGCUCUGUUGUUGGUGAAGAAGGAUAGAGGCAGUAACUGGUCUUUAUUUGACGGUAAUCAACCAGAAAGUCACGGCUAACUACGUGCCAGCAGCCGCGGUAAUACGUAGGUGGCAAACGUUGUACGGAUUUAUUGGGCGUAAAGCGAGCGCAGGCGGAAUGAUAAGUCUGAUGUGAAAGCCCACGGCUCAACCGUGGAACUGCAUCGGAAACUGUCAUUCUUGAGUGCAGAAGAGGAGAGUGGAAUUCCAUGUGUAGCGGUGGAAUGCGUAGAUAUAUGGAAGAACACCAGUGGCGAAGGCGGCUCUCUGGUCUGCAACUGACGCUGAGGCUCGAAAGCAUGGGUAGCGAACAGG
Molecule: ribosomal RNA, 429 nt
Filed under: bacterium
Lineage: Bacteria
Description: partial 16S ribosomal RNA
Rfam family: Bacterial small subunit ribosomal RNA
Source: RNAcentral